RNAcentral lists this ribosomal RNA (422 nucleotides) under uncultured prokaryote. RNAcentral describes it as "partial 16S ribosomal RNA". The record is from RNAcentral.
CCCUAUGGGGCGCCUGACCUGCAAGGGCGACAAGUUCGGCGGGGAAUGCGGCUCCAAGGUCGGCGUUGUCCGCAACAACCUGGAAAAUCUUGACCGCAGUGAACCGCGUCUUGUCCUGAUGGGAUUCAGCCAUGUUGACACAGACGAGGCUUCUGCCAGCGCGAAAUAUCUCAACAAUGAUUUCUUUCCGGCGAAUCCGGGAAGUUCCUGGGUGAGUCCGGAAACUCUACCUUCUUUUUUUGAGUCUGAAAAAGAAUAUGCUCCGACAAUGGACGAGCUGAGGAUUAUUUCUGAAUAUCUGAUUUCAAAGUGGAAAAACAGGCCUCCCGAUUUCAUAGAGGGCAAUGGGCGUCAGGUUUCCCUGUGCGAUGCUUUUGAAGGGCUUGCCAGGGGAAUUGCCGCGUCGAAAUUUGCGGGAGAGC